AGUGCAAACUGUCCCCAGUGGUUUCACCUCUUUUACCUCUUUCACCCUUUUUAAACUUUUAUUUAUAAGGGUGAAGAGUGUGCUAUUUGUUUUAAUUUCUUUGGCAAGGUCUAAUGCAGUUUUAUCCUUGGCAGUUAUCUCUAUGCAGCACUCACUUCUUGACAACAAAGACACAGCAUUCUUUGCUCAGUCUCUGUCCCUAAUUUUGUAACUCUAUUUAAUCCUGUUUCAUUUUUUUCCCCACUCUUGUGCUGAAAAAUAACUCAUUCAGUUUCCAAGAUACUUAUUCUCAAGGAAAUGAGAGACACGAAAGGUUUUAGCCUUAUAGUUUUAAGACUGCCUGAGUUAAAAAUAAUGGAAAACAAAGGAAUUUACAGGAAAUAGGCAAACUUAACAAUAAAUAGCUCUAUGGCUUUUGCCUAGAUUAUUCUAAUUUUUUGUAAUUUACUUGUCUUUUAAGAUAAGUGUAGUGAUUUCCAAAGGUCAGCAUAUAGCCAUGACAACUGAAAAAGACGCACUGUGAGCCCAGUUUUAUUGUUUGCAUUUGCAAGCAGUCUGCAGAGGGUAAAUGCAGAAAGCAGAAAGGUCAGCUUGAUGCUACACACAGAGGAACUGAACCUGAAUUCAGCAUGCAGAUGGUCCUAGUUCAUGCUGCUUUUCUUUUAAAAAAAUAUUGUCAGGAAAAACAAUAUCAUCUUCUUAGUGCUAUUUUAGUAGUCUUAUGUAACAUUUCUUCUUCCAAAAUGUGCAUAUAAAAUAUUAGCUAAAGGAAGAGCCAGUAAUCAGUAAUAUGGGGGAAAAGCCCCAGAAGCUAUUCCCUAGACAUGCACUACCAGUGAGUAAUUAUUACUUAACAGUAAAACUUUACUAAUAUCUAUCAAUCACAUUUCACAAGUGACAUUUUUAUACAUUUCCCACAUGUAUGGAUGCACAGGCUCUGGGAUAAUAUUUUAGGCAUAGUAAGUGAGAACCAGAGUACAAUAAAACCGUAUGUUCCAUUAAUAUCUCCUUCUCAUCUUCCAGGAAUAACUUUCAUACCAUUUAUUGCAGAUUACUAACACUUACUCUCUAUUUCCCCAACCCCUGUGGACAUUGACUCUUUUAUCCUUUUGAAGCUCAAUACUCGUCCCCAUAAUGCCUGAGAAGGAGAAACUGCCUUUGUUUCCAGACAGCACAGCUAUUGCAGAACUUUCAGCCCUCAAACCGCCAUGCCAUGGCAAGUAAACUCACCCGUCCCACUCUCCCAGCAGCUAACCAAGUGAACUCUAACAGAAGAGAGUCGUGGACCACAAUACAUGGUGUUAAAGCAGUAAAUGCAUGUAGUGGGUUGAACCUGAGUUGAUGGACAGUCGUUUAGACCAAUGACACUUCUCACAAUUUACAUAUUUAAACCGCACCGAAAGGCGGGACUUGCCCUUUUUGUCGGAGUUCGCCUGCUGGAAGGUGGGGGGGGCUCCGAGCCUCCCGGCCCCGCUGGGCCGGGCCGGGGCCA
This is a long non-coding RNA of Corvus hawaiiensis (hawaiian crow), 1492 nucleotides long. RefSeq lists it as uncharacterized. The transcript is spliced from 3 exons. The record is from RefSeq and is a predicted model, not a curated record. Lineage: Eukaryota; Metazoa; Chordata; Aves; Passeriformes; Corvidae.